CUGUAAAGUGGGAUGAUCUUCCGCCACUCAGGCCAGGUGGUGGUUAGGAUUAAACCCUGAAGUCGACCUGAGCAGCUUAGCCUGGCGCCUGACCCAGAGCGGGCGCUCCACGCCCGCUGAUAUUAUUACUAAUUGUUUUCGGGAGAGGCAGAUUUGGGGCGUAGAGGGUGGGUGGGUUGAGGAGGGCAUUUUGGCCUGGGGGCGGAUGGGGCCCGCGGGGUGGGGCGCCCUGGGGGAGUGGGAGGCGGGGCUUCUGUGCCCGGUGUCCCCACCCCGCCCGGACCCCGGCUCGGGCCGUGCCUGGGUCUCUCCCGGGUCACCGGCGGGGAAUCCGUCCCCGCGCGCUUCCUCCUUCCUCCUCCUCCCGGCUGCCUGCCGGGCCCCUCCUCCCAGCUCGCGCGCUCCCUCCCUCCUCUUCCCUCCCCUCCCCGGGCCGCCGCCGCCUCCUCCUCCUCCUCCUCCCUUUCUCUCUCGAUCUGUCUCUCCCGGCCCGGAAUCCAUUCCGGCCUGGGAGCCGGAGCGGCCAGGCCGCCGUCUGCCCUACCCGCUGGCCGUCCCGCGGUCCGCCCUCCUGUGCGUCCGUCUGCCGGUGCGCCCGCCCGCCCGCCGGCCCAGUUCCUCACUGGGCAGCGUGAAGACCAGGAGACUUCUCCUCUACCCCCAACUGCGGUCACCCACUAGCUGCGUGGCUUUGGUGAGUCAGUUUAACUGCUCUGUGCCUCAGUUUCCCCAUCUGAAAAAUGAGCCUAGUGGUAGAACCCACCCCAUGGGCUUGUUCCAA
This 781-nucleotide long non-coding RNA is filed under the name Piliocolobus tephrosceles (Ugandan red Colobus). RNAcentral describes it as "lncRNA (ENSPTEG00000017316.1)". The record is from RNAcentral. Lineage: Eukaryota; Metazoa; Chordata; Mammalia; Primates; Cercopithecidae.